CCCUUAGAUGUCCUGGGCCGCACGCGCGUUACGCUGAUGCAUUCAACGAGCUUAUAACCUUGGCCGAGAGGCCUGGGCAAUCUUGUUAACGUGCAUCGUGAUAGGGAUAGAUUAUUGAAAUUAUUAAUCUUGAACGAGGAAUUCCUAGUAAACGCAGAUCAUCAAUCUGCAUUGAUUACGUCCCUGCCCUUUGUACACACCGCCCGUCGCACCUACCGAUUGGAUGGUCCGGUGAAGCCUCGGGAUUGUGGUUCUUGCCGCUUUAUUGUAGCGUGACCGCGAGAACUUGUCUAAACCUUAUCAUCUAGAGGAAGGUGAAGUCGUAACA
Molecule: ribosomal RNA, 328 nt
Filed under: uncultured eukaryote
Lineage: Eukaryota
Description: partial 18S ribosomal RNA
Rfam family: Eukaryotic small subunit ribosomal RNA
Source: RNAcentral